UACGGAGGGUGCAAGCGUUUGUCCGGAAUCACUGGGCGUAAAGGGCGCGUAGGCGGCUCAUGAAGGCUGUGGUGAAAGUCCGGGGCUCAACCUCGGAUCGGCCGUGGCGACUCGUGGGCUGGAGCACUGUAGAGGGGGGUGGAAUUCCACGUGUAGCAGUGAAAUGCGUAGAGAUGUGGAGGAACACCGAUGGCGAAGGCAGCCCCCUGGGCUAACACUGACGCUGAGGAGCGAAAGCGUGGGGAGCGAACAGG
RNAcentral lists this ribosomal RNA (254 nucleotides) under uncultured bacterium. RNAcentral describes it as "partial 16S ribosomal RNA". It matches the Rfam family "Bacterial small subunit ribosomal RNA", at positions 524 to 776 of the family's 1533-position model. The record is from RNAcentral.